This 7731-nucleotide long non-coding RNA is filed under the name Coffea arabica (coffee). Its description in RNAcentral is "long non-coding RNA (CARA_LNC002989)". Lineage: Eukaryota; Viridiplantae; Streptophyta; Magnoliopsida; Gentianales; Rubiaceae. The record is from RNAcentral.
UACGCAGCUUCAUGCCGCGUUUCUGUUUUCUGUUUUUUUUUUUAAACAAUAUUGAUAAUAAUAAAAAUAACAAAAUAAUUUAAUUAACCUUGGAUAAAACAAAUAAACUAGAAACAACAAAGUAUAAAAUCCAAUUCUUUUUCAUUUUCCAUUUUUAUCAUUUUUCAUUUUUUCCAAGAAAGCAAUGAAUAAAACAAAAUGACUAAAACAUAUUUUUUUUUGAAUGUUUUCCUUUUCCUUUUCCUUUUUUCCCUUUUUAUGAUUUUUCAUUUUUUCAUUUUUUCACGAUUUUUCCUUUCUCUCUUUUUUUUUUUCAAGAAAUUCUAUGCUAAAAACUUAAAAAAAAUAAAAAUAAAACUAUAAACUAAAAACUAAAAAUCGAAUAAAACUAACACGACAAAUAAAAAAAUAAAAAUAAACAGUAAAUGAAAUUACACCAAAAUUUUGGUGUCUACACUAUGGAAGAACCAUGGAGUCGAGGAGGCAACCUGGGAGAUGGAAAAUGAGAUGAAAACCAGAUAUCCCGAACUGUUUAGCGAUUCAGGUGAGAAUUUCGAGGACGAAAUUCUUUAAGGGGGAGAGAGUGUGAGACCCCGAAAAUUUUCUUAUUUUUCAAGCAUUUAUUUUGGGCUUUUGGGCUUAAAUUUAGGGUUUUCUAUUAUAUGUAGGUUUUCUGGGGAAUUUUAUGAGAAAAUAUGAAUUUUGCAUCAUUUUCUGGGUUUAGGUUAUAUUCUGUGCUAGCAAGGGUGUACAGUAGUUGCGGGACCCACUAAGACGAUCGGUACAGAUAAAUGUAGUUUUCGAAAUUUUAUAUACGGAAGCUUUAUUACCUAGUGUUAUGAGUUAAUUAGAUGUUAGCUAGUAUAAUUAAGUGUUGUAAAACAAAAGAAAGAGAUAAGCUUGAAGGCCACAUGUCACAUUUUUAUUGGAGGUUUAAUUUUGACUAAGUCUUACACCUUUACUAAAUCAAAAUUUUACCAAAUUUCUUCUUCAUUUUACAUCUUCUUGGCCGGCCAUCAUAGGGAGAAAAGAGAGAAAAGUUCCCAACUUUGGUUCUUCAUUUCUUACCAAAAUCUUGAAAUCCAACCAUUAAUUUCUCAAAUUCCUCCAUAAAACCCAAUUGCUAGGAAAGGUUGAAGAGCUUGGUGGAGUUGGUUGCAAGGAGAAACACUAAGUCAUCUUGUUUCUAGCACUUGUAAGGUGAGUAGUUGAGAACUUGUCUUUUGUUAGUGGUAAUGUGAAAUUAGUAGAGGUUAGUAGUUAAAGAGGCCAUUUUAUGGAGUAUUUCAUGAUUUAUACUUGAGUUGUGUCAGUUUUCCCAUUUAUUAAGGAAUUUUCUGUUUUAUAUGAUUUCUCAUGGUUAGCUAGGUUGUGAUGGUAUUUUAUUGCAUGAUUUGGAGCCUAGAUAUGUUAAUGGUGUUUAAUUGUAGAAAAUUUCAGCAUUUGUAGGAUUUUCGGUUUUUAGGUUUUGGUAUAAAUUGGGGUUUUUCUAUAUAUGGUAUAUAUGCUAGUAGUUGAUGUGUAUUUGUUUGUAUUGUGGCUUAAAUGGGAUGAAUGGACUAAAUUGUGAUAUAUAAGUGUAUUGGUACAGGUUGAAUGCUUGUGGUUAGGUUGGAAAUGUGAAGAAAUUAAGGGGUUAUGCCGUCCAAAUGGUUAGAAAUAUAGAUGGUUUUGUAUUGAGAAGGAUUUGAGUAGAAAGGGAUAAGUUUUGGGUUUUUACUCACAUCCCACACCUUAAUGUUUCAUUGUAUUGGCUUUUGAGCAACUUGCAUUAGUAAGUUAAACUUGUACGUUGAAUUGUGUUUGAGUCUUCAAUAUGGUUAUUUGCUUGUUUUAGGUCGUACCGGUGGGCCGGGACCUACACCUGAUUCAAACGUGUGACUUGCUUGAAAAUUUGGUGAGUGUACCAGUAUAUGAUGAACAUACUUGUUAUGUGAUUUUAAAGGUCUUGAUUUGGGUCGAGAGUGUACUUGAUCGCUCUUGACCACUUACUUGCAUUUACCAUUAUUGUUUGGAUGUGAAGUGGUAUAUAUACAUGAUUUAACAUUUGAUGGGGCAAUGCCUUAAUAUUAAUGUGAAAUUGAGCUUAUGCCCUUAGACCGUUAUUCGAGUCGAGCCGGCAAGGGCUUGGGCGAUUCGUUAAUGAGCCUUUGGGUUCUUGAUAGGCGAGUGGAGUGUUAACUCCUCGACCUUGUGGUAUACUCGAGUAUUACCCUUUUGGAACUAUGAGGCGGCGGGCCCGAAUAGGGGGUGAAUGGUGGAAGGAAAUGGUGCGAAGUGGUGUCUACGGAUCUUGGAUUGUUUAAAUGGUUGACGGAGUGUCAACAUGUGCGAUCAAGUAUGGCAAUCGGAAACCGGCCCUUGAGGGUCACAUGUAUCCUUUUAUAUGUGUAUGUUUGUAUGAAGGUGUUUAUGUAUAUGUGUUAAUAGUUGUAUCAUGAAAUUGUGCAUUUGGUACCUCACGAGCGUAAGCUCACCCCCGUUGUUUUGUUUUCCUUACAGGAGCAUGAUUGGAAACAAGUUUUGAUAUGAGUUGAGCUAGUUAAGUGAUAGUUUUGAAAAGCUCCUCGAGAACUUGAACUUUUGAUGUAUAUGACUUCGUGUACCUUUGAGGUGUAAAUUGAACCUUUCUUAUGUAUAUAAGGCAUGUACAUAUAUGUCUUUAUCAAGUCUUGGAUGAACUACAUUAUGUGUUUGGUGUAUUUAUGUGAGUACCGUAUGCAAACGAAGGAAGAAAGAAUUUUUGGCAAAACACUGCCCAGAAUCCGGCCAAGAAUCUGGCCAGUUUCUGGCCGGAUACAAGGCCGGAUAUGCAGGGGAAGAAAAAAAAAAUUUUUGAUUUUGCUUCUGGCCACAAUCCGGCCAGAGCAAUCCGGCCAACUUCCGGCCGGAUUUCCGGCCGGAUUGACAGGGAAAUUUCAAACCCUUUUGGGUUUAGCCUAGGCCUCCUAUCCAGCCGGAUAUCCGGCCAGAUUCUGGCCGGAUAGUGACGCAAGGCGGUUACUGUUCAUCCGCGGCAAAUUUUCGUUCUUCGUUUUCUGGUCCGAUUGAAGUGCUCGAGCGCUAUACUUUCUUGCGUGAUGAUACUAUUGUUCCAAGAACACCUUAAUGGGAUAAAUCGCUCAUUUCGUUGAGUUUUCUUUUAUAAAUUAAAUAUGUAUUUGAUUGUUUUGCGAUCCGUAGUCCUGGCGAGAGCUGGGCAGGCGGUCCGUCACCCCUCUGGUUCGCCAUAGGGGAAGAUGGGGUCGUCACAGCUUUCUCCAGACCAGCCAUCCAUGGACCUAUCUGAGCUUUCUCUGCAUUUCUUGACGCCUAGACUGUGCACCAAAAAAUUACUGAUAAGGGUACGGCAUGUUUGUACAACAUAUCUUCGAAAUUGGAAUCCCUAGAUGUUGCACCACAAACACCUAGCUGGAUAUCGAGUUUAUCAGCUUCGUUUCUCCAACACAUACCCUCAUAAUUCUUACAUGGCUUCAACAAUCUUUCUAAUCCAUAUUGGAAAAGUAUGACCUGACAAAUGGAUAAGAAGAGAACGAUGCCUAGAUUAUCAUUCUAGGUUUAGGAAGGAGGGUUUUAUUGAAAGAAAGCCAUCAUCCCUGAGGAUAUCUUGAAAUCUCUCCAUAGCGCACCACACCACAUAGGCGGAUAUGGAGCUUAUCAACCUCCUAAUUCUCCCACUCCCAUUCCCACACAUCCAUAGGACCAAAGUCACAAGUCCUGCAAAGUGUUCCAUCAUCAGAAUCUCUGGUCGGAUUAUUUCUCCUUACCCUAAGUGAGGCACAUGCAUGAUGCAACUUCAGGUAGAGUUAUUACUUCCAUGAAACAGCCACCGAGCAUCGAUCAAACUACAUAGCAUCCCUUUGGAUCUCUUGAUCUCUCUCGAUGAACAAAAUAUAUAAUCCCGAAGGAAUGAUGCAAUCUCUCGGAGAUCUGUCCCAGCAGCAGAACAAUCAAGACUUUGACUUUUCUUUUCAAGGAUAUGAAGUGAUGCAAGCUGGAUUCAGGGAUCAACCAGGUCAAACCCUAAAACUAGCACCGCUUGGGACUUCAGGCUUCUGAGUCUUGGGACAGUUGUUUCACGUGAAGUUUAAGGAAUCCGAUCUAAAGAUGGUGCAAACAAGUGGAAAAAACCAUUUCGAUAUGCUAGAUAUACAGCAGAGGGAAACCUUUUUCCAAACGGUGUUGUCGCGCCCCAUUUUUAUUAAGAAAAAUAAAAGACGAGUUUAGAAAAACGGCUUUUGAUUCAAUUUUUUAUUGGAAAAUAAAUUUUUGUUUUAAAAAAAAUGAAAAAACGUGGGUCUAAAUGGGACUUGAAAAUGGACGAUUUGACCCAAAAUAUAGUUUAAAAAGGGUUUUUGAGUGAAAAAUGGAGUCGCCACUUGGUAUAGAAUUUAGGUGUACCAAGUCACCUAAAAAUGAAUUUUUAAAGAAAAAAGUAGAAAACCCUUUUUAAACGACUCCAAAUCUACGAAAAUCAGAGAAAAAGAUUCGGGAGUCACAUUUGAAGAAAGGGAAGGCAAGGAUAAGAAUCCAAGACACCCUUUCAACCAAACCAAGGCUAGUUGCGCGAUUUAGUCAAAGAUCUUCUUCUUUUAACCUAAAGAUUUAUCACAUUUGGAUGUACUAUAUGAAUGCAAACCCUAAACCAAGGAGAAUGUCGGGGUGUUGAAAUGUAUCUUUAAAACUUACUUGGUACCAAUCACAUUAAUUGUGAUGUCCAAUAAAGACUCUUCGAAGAAGUCACGAAUAAUGCAAGUCAUAAGACUCGAAAGAAAGAAAAAGUAAAGAAAACAAUAAUAUACAAAUGUGUAUGACCUAAAGGAAUGCAUCAUAAUGGGUGCGGGGGACUUAUACUCGUGACUUUCAAUGUUCCAUUUAAUAGAGGAAAUACGAGCGUGCUAAGGCUAGAAAAGUCAAACUCGUCCAUAUCCCAUAUCCAAGGGGUUAUCUCUAGUCUAAUUAGGCAAAAUGCACUAAUCUACCCCCUAAUUUCCUAAAUGAGAUGCAAAUCUAAAUGUUAUAUAUACAUAGGGGUAAGGGAUAUUUUAUUAGGGAAAAUAUUAUAUGAAAAUGAUAAAGAUCCUAAAAAAUGGAAAAAUAUGCAUGAAGUGUAAUGUAAUCAUACAAACAUGAUCUAGCGAGGGAGAUCCCUAAGGGUCUAGCAUUGGACUAGCCCAUGUCUAUGGAUCCUCACUAGCAUUGGACUAGUGGGGAAAUCGGAAAAAAGAACCACAACUAGCGUUGGAUUAGUGUGGUGACGGGAAAGGAAUCACAACUAGCAUUGGACUAGUGUGAUAAAAUGCAUUUAUUACAGUCUAAGAAAUCAGAUAAAGCAUAAUAAAGAAAAUAAACACAUAAAUCACAUAUAGCAUACAACACAUAAGCAUGAUGUCUAGAUGCAAGACCCUAGGAAAGCGAGUAACACAUAACACGUAGGCAUGCAAAAACACACAAGGCAAAUAAAGCAAAUAAAGCCCUAACUAUUACAUUCGGGGAACCCUACUACAAUCUAAAAGGGGGGGAAGGAAUAAAAUGAUAUAAUAACCUAACUAUUACAAUUGUGGCAUUUAAUUGCCCUCCCAAAUAAUUACAAAUUAAAUUAAAAUAAAUAUACAAAAUUAAAACAAAUAAAGUAACUAAAUGAACAAAUAUAAUGAGAAUAUUCAAAAAGAAAAAGAAGCAUGCAAUUUCACACAUAAUUUCACAUAAGUGCACAUAGGAUCAAAUAAGUCAAAAUAAGGGAUAGGGUGUACCUCCCUUGAAUUGAGGCUCUAAUGAACUGAAGUCACUUAUUUACCCUCCAAAAUACAAAGAAAGGGUCAAUGCACCAUUUUAAUUAACAAACAAUCAUAAAAGAUAAAAAAAAUGAAUCGUGAAAUUGAAUCAAUUAAAUCAUAUAAAUAACCCACAUUCAAGAAGUCAAAAGAAUAAAAGACUUGACUGCAAACAUUAACAAAGUUCUGGGGUCAAAGUUAAAGAAAAUAAAGUGUAGGGACCCAUUUGCAAUUAAAUUAGGGAUCCAAUUUAAAGAAGUUGAAAAUGUCCAGGGCCACAGUAUAGUUAAUGAGAAAUCCAGGGACUGACUUGCAAAUUCAGUUACCAGAUUCUUAGAAAACAGGCCAUUGGGCCAUUUUAUUUAUUUGUUUGGGCCCAAACCUUCUCCAGCCCAAUCGAAACCCAAACAAAAUAGAUGGGUUAGUCUAAUUGUUCUUACCAAUUGAACCCAAUUAACUUAAUCACAAACCCAAUCCUAAAACGCAACCAAAAGUGUUGGGCUCCAUCUUCCUAAACCCAAAUCAGAAACCCAACAAAAUAAUCUAAAUCCACUUCCUUAAGCCCAAACAAAAAUAACCUCUUAAUCCAAAUCACUUGUUUCACUAAACCCAACAUGAUAAAAUCAACUAAAAUUAUUAAAUCAUAAUUAUGGCCUAAAACAAAAAAUUAAUCCACCUAAAAGACUACUUAACAAUAUGGUUCAAACACAAGAAAUUAGCUCAACUUUCUCAUUUUGGGGCCAUAUCAGAAUAAGGGAAAAUGUGAGAGGUCCAAACACAACAAAAGUAGGGACCUAAUUGAAGGACUUGUGAAGGUUUUGGGAUCAAACUAUGAAGUUCUAAAACUUUGGGGCACAAAUCACAGAAAAAGGGCAAAUUUCGGGGCUGAAAUUAUAAAUCUAGUCAAAUGAUCAUCUUCUCCAAACGGUCUAAGCGUCAUUAGCAUUUCAGCUUUCUUUCGAUCAGCAACACCGAAAAUUUGGUUUCAAUUCCAACCAUUCUCAGUCAAGCAAUGAAACCCACAAGAAUUUCCCCUCCCAACUUUAAAUCGAAUUCAUACGAUGGGAAACAAAAGGAACAGCACAAUGUAAGGCAGCGAUGCAUCAAAAAUUCUCAAACAUGAGGGAAGGAAUUGGCCGACUUAAACAGUUUCUUCACACGAAAAAUGCAAACAGAAUAUAUUUCGAUAAGAAAUUUUCAAUUGGGCAUUUCGUCGAACAGGUUGAGGACAUAAGAAAUUUCACUGAUUCUUUGUUCAAUCUGAAGUUAAUCAGCCCAAGAAUUGGUAAGAAACAUAAAGACAUUCAAUCCCAAUCAACACAGAAAGCAUGUAUGCUCAAAAUUGCGCACAAUCAACAUAAAAAUCACAAUAAGCUAAUCUCUGUUUUGAGAUUCUUAUGGGUCUAAGCUUGAAGAGAAGACAGAAUUUUUUAAAGGGGGGAAGAUGACUUACCGCAUCUGUUCGGUUGAAGAUUUGCAGACGAUGGUGAUGGAUGUCCGAUGAGGCAGUGAUGGCUCGGCGAGCGACGGCGGUUUCGGCAGCUCUUCAGAUGAGCAGUCCUCGCUCUAUUUCUUCGCAGCUCUCCUUCUUUUCCUCUCGUCCGCCGCCCCUUUGGUUUUUCCUCUUGCUCUGUUUUUGAGCCGAAACCUCUCUCGGCCUUCUCUGUUUUUCCCCACCGAAGCCCCCUUUCUUUUCCUUCCUCUCUAGCUCUCUCCUUUUGCUCCGUCCGCCGCCCCUAUUGCCUUGCCCUCUGUUUUGCUCCACCCGCCACCUGUGGAGUCUUCUUUUUUCUCUUCCUUUUUCUCUCCGCCACCCCUUGCCUCUGUAUUUCCGAAGCCCUCUCUACCAUUUUUCCUUUAGCUUUGUUUUCUUUUUUUUUUUCCUUCCGACGAAGCUCCCCUUUUGCUUUCUGCUAUUGUUUUUCCUCCUCUGGCUCCCUCUUCAAUCAGCCUCUUU